GCCCGUCCCGUUAGUCUGUUCGUCGCGCUGCUCCUUCGUUGGUUUCUUGGUUUUAUUUUUUGCCCUCACAUUCGACUUUGUUCAUCUUCAUUCUCUCCGCAACGCAAGGCACGCUUCUCUUCCUGUCGUGAGUCUCGUGCGUUGACGUGUCUCUCUCACUCUCCCUCUCCCUCUCCAGCCCUCGCGUUAGCCUUUUAAAAGACUUUCUAACUAACCACCGCAGGCAUCACCGAUCACCGCCACCAUCAAGCACGGGUGCUGUAGCGAUGGACUCCCCCAGCGAUGGACGUGUGCACGACGACUUCACGCCUGGCAGCCCUCGCGCCCCGGACCAGGACGCAGCAGCAGCGGCACGGCAACAAAAGCCGGCAACGACUGGCGGUCUCCAGAGCCCGGUCGACGGGAAGGCGCACUUAGCCCACCCUGAGGCGACCUCACUCUUCGUCAAGUGCCCAUGGAUGCGGCACGUCCCCAUCUUCAGUGAGGCAGCGGAAGGCUAUGGUCCCAAGGUGGUCGUCUCCCUCGGUAUGUGCUACUUCCUCUGCAAGGGCAUCGCGGAUCAGCUCAUCAGCUACUCGCGGCAGCCCAUGUUCAUGUCCCGCUACGGCAUUGACGGUCAGCGGUAUCAGCGGUUGGCGGGUAUCUCUACGAUGGGGUGGUCCAUCAAGGCCCUCACCGCGAUGCUCUGCGACGGCUUCGCCUUCCUCGGCUACACGAAGCGCUGGUACAUGUUUGUCUCCUGCCUGGGUGGUGCCGUUUUCGCCCUCCUCUACGGCCUGCUGCCCGCGAGACCUGCCUCCGCCGACAUUGCCGCCGCCUUUGUGUUCCUGUGCUCCUACGGCAAGGCCAACGUGGAUAUCUUGUCGGAGGGCCACUACAGUCGCCUGAUGCGCUUCAACCCACGGCCCGGACCGGCGCUGGUGAGCUGGAUUUGGUUGUUCAUCAUGGUGGGCGCCAUCGUUGCGGCCGCGAUUCAGGGCCCCCUGUCCGACCAAGGAAAGCAGCAGGUGGGCGUUUUCAUCUCCGCCGUUCUGCAAUGUGUCACCGGCGUCUUCUUCCUGUUCAACUGGUACGGGGAGCGCAAGAACCGCGUUGAACGGGCGGCCGAUGCAGCGCUGCUCUACGAGGAUUUGCGGAAGGAGCGCGUGGCACUUGGUCUGCUGCCGGCACAGGACAGCAGACACGUCAGAAGCGGGAAAGACGAUGUGGUCGCCCUAGUGAACGGCGCGCCGAGUGGUGCAGCUGUAGGGGCAAAGAAAAACUUGCACCCGGAGAACCACUUGUCGGACGAGGAGGGCGUGCCGGAGUUAGAGCAGCGCCAGCGUGAGGCUCUCGAGGAGGAGAUGCGCAGCGACGCCCUCGUCGUAGGGGAGGAAGAGGACGAAGAGCUUGCGGAUGACGAGUACCUGCCCUAUGAAGUCCCGCAUCCCGUCCCCUGUCUCUUCGGCCUCUUUGAGAUGAACAAGGAGGUAAUUAUCCGCAACUGGAAGAUCUUCGUGUACAGCAUCGUCAUGACGUGCUCGGUUGUGGCCAUGACGUGCGGCUCCAUACUCGCGGAUACACUGGGUUUGCUCAUCAUAUGUGUGGUCAUCUCGACCAUCUGCUGCGCUACGUCCUUCUGGGCCAUGCCGCUGGUGAUUGCGAAGGCCAACGUCUUUGGAUACCUGCAGAUGACAGUGUACCUGCAGCUUCCCGGUGCGCUCGACAGCUUCUACUUGGCCAACGCGGAGUGCUUGCCUGAUGGGCCGCACUUCACCUACACCUUCUACAACACGGUGGCGGCCGUCAUUGGCAACAUUGGCGGUCUUAUUGGUGUGACAGCCUUCAACUACAUCUUUUCGAAGCACAGCUACCGCCUCACGUUCUGCAUCACGACUGUCGUGCAGAUCAUUGCCUCCGUCUUCGACAUCAUCAUGGUGAAGCGCUGGAACGUGUACAUCGGCAUCCCUGACCACGCCAUGUACAUUUGCGGUGAUGCUGUUGUGUAUCAAGUGUGCUACAUGCUGGCCUGGAUGCCGAUGAUCGUGCUGCUGUCUCGCCUGUGCCCUCGUGGCUCGGAGAGUGUCGUGUAUGCGCUGAUGGCGGGCUUCUCCAACCUUGGCCAGACCACCUCGUCGUCUCUCGGUGCGAUCAUCAUGGAGUAUGGCUGGAGCAUCACCACCACACCCCCGUGCAACUUCAGUAACGUACCAUGGCUUCUGCUCGUCGGUCACAUCAUGCUGCCGCUGCUGGUGAUUCCGCUUACUCUGCUGAUCCCGAACGCGCGCAUUUGCGAUGACCUCGACGUUGAUGGUAAAGCGGUCAAGAGCGCCGUCAGCCACCAAGUCGCUCUGGACGCGGCGCAGGCUGAGGACGGCUUCGAAGAGAACACCUCGUCGGUGGAGGCUGCUGACGUAGCAACGAAAGACCUGCAAGCAGAGAGGAAGCGCGCGUGAGGCGUGGGGUACGCCGGUUUCCGAACGGCGAGCGAGUGUGCGAAGGAGCCGGGCCGGUGGGCAGGCAAGAGCAGAAAUAAAAAAGAACAAAGCAAGCAACUGAAAGGCAGAAGCAGUUCACGGUGUCCGGGGGAGGGAGAGGAGGGCGAGGAGCGAUGGCGGGUGUACCACAGCGUCGUAUUUUGUGUGUGCGCGAAAGUGAGCCUUGCAGAUCGCCGUCUUUGCCUUCGUCUCUCCCUCCCUCCUCCCCCGCCCCCUACAAUCUCCUCCGACAAUGCCAAAAAGUGGAUGCAUCGCUGUCCUCCUGUCUUCCCUUUUCUUUGGCUUGUGCUUGCUCCGGUCGAGUCGCUUCCUUCUGUGCUGUAUUCCGGUAUCACCUCCUUCGACACCGACCGCGCCCCCUCCCUCCUUAGCAUCAUCUCUAGACGAUCCUUGCCGUUUCGUCUCCUGUUUUCUUUCCUUGUUUCUCCACCCCCUGCCAUUCCAACGUCAGUAAUGCGCGUGAAUGUUUAUGGAGCACACGCCACUGUGGAGCGUGGGAGGUGUGUGUGUGUGUUCGACUCAGUGAGAUGCCAGCGUGGAGCCCAUCGUGCGCGUCAUGGCGUAAACACGCACGCACAAGCAUACGCACGCACACAAAACGUGGCCUCUGCCUGCCUGCAUUGUAAUGUGCUGACGGGUGGAGUGCAAUGGCCAGGCGCUCCUAACCUGCUUUAACAUCUUAUUUUUCCCUGUGGAUGCCUUUAUACAUAUAUAUAUAUAUAUAUAUGUGUGUGUGUACGGGUGUUUUGGCAGCUGAGAGGAACUAAGGUCGACGUGGACGUGCGUGCUGCCUGCGUGUUGUCCGUCCCUGCGGCACUGUUUCUCCCCGAACUUCCACUUUCCUGUGACAAAGCCCUCUGUCUGCUCUCCCUCCUCUUGGUGCGCGCCCCACCUCGUCUUUCCUCCGACGAGUGCCUUUAUUUUCGUGCGGUGCCGUUGGCGCACGUCUCUCGCAUCGUGAGCUUUUCUCUUACAUGUCUUUAGUUUUGACCCUCCUUUCUUCUACCAAGGGAUCCGCAGUGGUCCAUCGCCCUCGGGCGGGAAGGGUGUGUGUGUGUGUGUGUGCCUGUGUGUUCUCCUCCGACGCUGCGCUCCCUCGCUGUCGCACUGAGAUGGGCGUCGUAAAACGUCGGCCUCUGCGAGCAUGUGUGGGUGUGUGCUGGCUUUUGUCUUGUCGGGUGAGAGUGCGAACGGGACGGGCAGUGCCGCUCACGCAUCUCUCCUUUGGGUGUUGUUUUGUUUUCUCUAAGUGCGUGUGUGCCCCGAUGAAGCCGGCCACCCAAACGCGCGGUAGCUCAGCGUCCAGUGCCCCCACUCUGAGUGUUUGGGGGGGAGAGCCAGAGCAGCCCAUCGCUGCUGAUGUCGGCGGUGAGGUCCUGGGUGGCGUGGCGUCGGAGCGACCUGCACUACUGAGCACGCUUGCGCCAUCCAUAUUAUGAUC
Molecule: unclassified non-coding RNA, 3918 nt
Filed under: Leishmania donovani
Lineage: Eukaryota; Euglenozoa; Kinetoplastea; Trypanosomatida; Trypanosomatidae
Description: gene:LdHU3.10.0600(CDS-product:pteridine_transpor ter_(truncated)_putative)
Source: RNAcentral